Molecule: ribosomal RNA, 200 nt
Filed under: uncultured bacterium
Lineage: Bacteria
Description: partial 16S ribosomal RNA
Rfam family: Bacterial small subunit ribosomal RNA
Source: RNAcentral
AUUGAACGCUGGCGGCAGGCCUAACACAUGCAAGUCGAGCGCGAAAGUUCUUCGGAAUGAGUAAAGCGGCGGACGGGUGAGUAAUACAUGGGAAUCUGCCUGGUAGUGGGGGACAACGUUUCGAAAGGAACGCUAAUACCGCAUACGCCCUACGGGGGAAAGGGGGGGACCUUCGGACCUCUCGCUAUCAGAUGAGCCCA